This 376-nucleotide ribosomal RNA is filed under the name uncultured Pseudoplatyophrya. RNAcentral's name for it is "SSU rRNA". It matches the Rfam family "Eukaryotic small subunit ribosomal RNA", at positions 585 to 972 of the family's 1831-position model. Lineage: Eukaryota; Ciliophora; Colpodea; Grossglockneriida. The record is from RNAcentral.
CCAGCUCCAAUAGCGUAUAUUAAAGUUGUUGCAGUUAAAAAGCUCGUAGUUGAAUUUCUGGCCAGCGCUGCUCUCGGCUCUCUGAGUCGGUUCAGUGUUUGGUCAUCCGUAUGGGAAGCUAGCUCGGCCUUCACUGGUCGGCUAGUGGAUCAUACACUUUACUUUGAAAAAAUUAGAGUGUUUCAGGCAGGCAAUUGCUUGGAUACUUCAGCAUGGAAUAAUGGAAUAGGACUUUGACCUAUUUGUUGGUUUCUUCGAGGUCAAGGUAAUGAUUAAUAGGGACAGUUGGGGGCAUUCAUAUUUAAUUGUCAGAGGUGAAAUUCUUGGAUUUAUUAAAGAUGAACUUAUGCGAAAGCAUUUGCCAAGGAUGUUUUCA